AACGAACGCUGGCGGCAUGCCUAACACAUGCGAGUCGAACGAGACCUUCGGGUCUAGUGGCGCACGGGUGCGUAACGCGUGGGAACCUGCCCUUAGGUUCGGAAUAACUCCCCGAAAGGGGUGCUAAUACCGGAUAAUGUCUUCGGACCAAAGAUUUAUCGCCUUUGGAUGGGCCCGCGUUGGAUUAGCUAGUUGGUAGGGUAAAAGCCUACCAAGGCGACGAUCCAUAGCUGGUCUGAGAGGAUGAUCAGCCACACUGGGACUGAGACACGGCCCAGACUCCUACGGGAGGCAGCAGUGGGGAAUAUUGGACAAUGGGCGAAAGCCUGAUCCAGCAAUGCCGCGUGAGUGAUGAAGGCCUUAGAGUUGUAAAGCUCUUUUACCCGGGAUGAUAAUGACAGUACCGGGAGAAUAAGCUCCGGCUAACUCCGUG
RNAcentral lists this ribosomal RNA (433 nucleotides) under uncultured bacterium. RNAcentral describes it as "partial 16S ribosomal RNA". It matches the Rfam family "Bacterial small subunit ribosomal RNA", at positions 29 to 507 of the family's 1533-position model. The record is from RNAcentral.